UGUCUCUGCGUUGUGCUGAAACCUGUAGUUUGAUCGACACCGUUACGAUCGACAGACACAAUGGAGAAAUCGGUUUUCUUCUUCUGUGUGUUUUCAUGUUGGAUUAUGCAAAUCACAUCCAAUGGUAAAUAUACUCUAUUUCAGACAUUAUGAAAUUAAAUAACUAUUAUUAUGAGCAUGGUCUAAAAGGAUCUGUUUUUAUAAUGUCUCUCCAGAUGCGUCAGUACGAGGGUCUUAUGAUCUGCUGAGGGUUCAGAUGGGAGAAAACAUCAGUCUGAACUGCAGCAUGAGAAACCGAUAUGAAGUCGCCUGGUAUCACCUCAAUUCUGAAAAACUAGAUCUAUUGAUUUCUGUGAAGAAAGACAAAACUGGAAGAAAUCUCCUGACCAACUAUGAUCCAAACAGCCCUCGUCUGAAACUUACUGCAGACACAAGGAUCACCAGAGUCUCUCUAGAGAUUUCUGGAGUAACAGAGUCAGAUUUGGGCAUUUAUUUCUGUGGAACAAAGUCUGAUGCUCCAGAGAUGUUCUUCGACAAACCCAUCAGACUAGAGAUCGAGGGUCUUUCUGUAACAGAAAAGCCUAAAGAAGUUGACAUCACAGAUGGAGUGACUACGAUCGAGAGGGCAUUGAUGUUUGGUGGUGUUGGUCUGGCUAUUGUUGUGUUUUUUCUGGCUACAGUCAUUGCAGGAGGAAUCAUUCACUAUCGCGGCUGGCAGAAAGGAUGGAGCGCAGGCAAACGCUCAUCUCUGAUUCAGCACAAAUCGGCUAAAUGA
This 775-nucleotide long non-coding RNA is filed under the name Sinocyclocheilus anshuiensis. Its description in RNAcentral is "lncRNA (ENSSANG00000038748.1)". Lineage: Eukaryota; Metazoa; Chordata; Actinopteri; Cypriniformes; Cyprinidae. The record is from RNAcentral.